AAAAACCUUACUACCCUUGACAUGGUCGGAAUCCUGAAGAGAUUUAGGAGUGCUCGAAAGAGAACCGACACACAGGUGCUGCAUGGCUGUCGUCAGCUCGUGUCGUGAGAUGUUGGGUUAAGUCCCGCAACGAGCGCAACCCUUGUCAUUAGUUGCUACGAAAGGGCACUCUAAUGAGACUGCCGGUGACAAACCGGAGGAAGGUGGGGAUGACGUCAAGUCCUCAUGGCCCUUAUGGGUAGGGCUUCACACGUCAUACAAUGGUACAUACAGAGGGCUGCCAACCCGCGAGGGGGAGCUAAUCCCAGAAAGUGUAUCGUAGUCCGGAUUGUAGUCUGCAACUCGACUACAUGAAGUUGGAAUCGCUAGUAAUCGCGGAUCAGCAUGUCGCGGUGAAUACGUUCCCGGGUCUUGUACACACCGCCCGUCACACCAUGGGAGCGGGUUUUACCAGAAGUGGGUAGCCUAACCGCAAGGAGGGCGCUUACCACGGUAGGAUUCGUGACUGGGGUGAAGUCGUAACAAGGUAAGCGUAGUGCU
Molecule: ribosomal RNA, 540 nt
Filed under: uncultured bacterium
Lineage: Bacteria
Description: bacterial SSU rRNA
Rfam family: Bacterial small subunit ribosomal RNA
Source: RNAcentral